UAGAGUUUGAUCCUGGCUCAGGAUGAACGCUGGCGGUCUGCUUAACACAUGCAAGUCGAACGCAACCUUCGGGUUGAGUGGCGGACGGGUGAGUAACGCGUGAGAAUCUGCCUUGGGGUCGGGGACAACCACUGGAAACGGUGGCUAAUACCGGAUAAGCCUUUGGGUAAAAGAUUUAUUGCCCCAAGAGGAGCUCGCGUCUGAUUAGCUAGUUGGUGAGGUAAGAGCUCACCAAGGCAGCGAUCAGUAGCUGGUCUGAGAGGACGAUCAGCCACACUGGGACUGAGACACGGCCCAGACUCCUACGGGAGGCAGCAGUGGGGAAUUUUCCGCAAUGGGCGAAAGCCUGACGGAGCAAGACCGCGUGAGGGAGGAAGGCUCUUGGGUUGUAAACCUCUUUUUCUCAGGGAAGAAGCUCUGACGGUACCUGAGGAAUCAGCCUCGGCUAACUCCGUGCCAGCAGCCGCGGUAAUACGGAGGAGGCAAGCGUUAUCCGGAAUUAUUGGGCGUAAAGCGUCCGCAGGUGGCGGAUUCAAGUCUGCUGUCAAAGCACGGGG
Molecule: ribosomal RNA, 557 nt
Filed under: uncultured organism
Description: bacterial SSU rRNA
Rfam family: Bacterial small subunit ribosomal RNA
Source: RNAcentral